Molecule: long non-coding RNA, 276 nt
Filed under: Coturnix japonica (Japanese quail)
Lineage: Eukaryota; Metazoa; Chordata; Aves; Galliformes; Phasianidae
Description: lncRNA (ENSCJPG00005021518.1)
Source: RNAcentral
UCAGCCUUUCCAUCACAAGGAUAGAAGGAAACACUUAAAAGAAUAAGGACAAGAAGUGGGUUUAUACUUCAGCUUUAGAGGAGCAGGUUGCACUGCAACAGUUGCACACUUCAAUGGGAGCACCUACAGCCACUUCUCAAAAUGAGACAGUACAAGUAUAUAUAUAUGGAUAGGAGUGCAUUACUUCAGCUGUCCUACUGAAAGUUUUACAUCUGAUUAUUUGAUUAUGAAAGUAAACUCUCCCACAUAGAAGAGAAUGCUAGCAAUCUUGUUCUG